ACACACACACACAUACAUACACACAAACAAUUAAAACAAACAAAAAACCCUCAAGUUGAGUCUCUUGAUACCCCCUCUUGUUAAAACUAGGAAGUUAAUAGGUGAAACGAAAGGCCAGGUUCUCAGUAUUACCCAACUUCUUUGGAAUCAAUCACUAGUGUUUACCUGUCUUGAACUCUUCACCAGGAAAACAGUGGUGUCUUUAAUAAAGGUCUGGCAUGGCAUGAUGGAUGUGGGACAGUCUCAUCAUUACCUACAUAACAGACACACUGAGGGCUUUGGCAGGCAUGCUCUGUGGGUAUGUUGUCCUUUGAAGUCACUGCUUUGUUUACUGUCCAUCUCAGUAAUUUUCCACCAGUCCUUGCUUUCUCUCAUGGCUUAGAACCUGUCAUAUCCACACAGUUGCUAUGGAUUUUCCUGACAGGGUUUUGAGCAGGUGUAGCUCUUGGGUCAAAUAGGCUACUCUGUGAAGUGUGCAUGCAUAUGUGUCUGUGUUUGUGUGUUGCACUGCUGUUCCAAUCUGUUAUUUUAAUCAUGUGCUAGUUAAAAAUCUAAACUUAGAUUUCCUAUGUCUAGUACCCUUCGAGUGGAUUUCCGGAUACUAUUCAUUAGAGAGGUCUUUCCACCCAUGCCCAACUCUGGCUAUGAUAUUAACCUUUCGUAAUGAAACUGCUCUGUCUGUCUGACACAUAGUAUGCCCUUUUAGUUCUGCCCCCCCCCCCACUUAUUCAUGCGCCUCUUUGCUACUCCCUUUCAAAUGGGAAAUGCUGGCCUAUUUAUCCUUAGUAACCAUGCUGAAGUUUUCAGUUCUUUUUGAUACUUAGGUUUUAUUGGACGAAUGUAGAUUGUACCUUCUCCAAAUGUAUCUUAAAUAAUCGCCACUUACAGGAAUUAAAAACUGCAAGGGAAGGAAAGUGCUGACCCAUACACUAAGCUAAAGGAGCAAACCUUCCCACUGGGUCCAAUUUCCUAAAAAGGACGACCAUCAGGACAGUGGCUGGGGUCUACAGUUAUGGUCUAAAUGACCUCUAGAAAGUGAACCUUUCACAAUGGCCUUGAUUGUGUUUGCAGCAAACAAAGAGAAGGAGCAGUCAGCCUACCCAUUCCAACUCUUGUUUGUCCUUGGCUGGGUUCUAAAGGCUCAGGAAGAGAAUAUAACCCUUAGAAAUGGAGGUGACAUUGCAGGAUAAGCAUGCUCCAAGGCACAGUGUUCAUGCAGGCGUGGUGUCUGCCCCGCACAGAAGUGUUUCCACCCUGAAGGCUUCUCAGAGUCUAAAUGUACAUUUUGAUCACUUCUCAGCUCAGUUGUUUGCAUAAAGGCUCCUUCAUCUCAGCACCAAACCUAAAGCAUUGCCUACGCUUCCCUCUUCCACUUCCUUUGCUUUACUUUUUCUUCCAAAACUGGACUCAAGGGAGUAAAUACAUUGAGAUGUCCUCAUUGAAAUAUGAGACAGCAUAUCUCUUUUGCUUUAGCUAAAUCUUUAGUUAUUUGUUGUGUGACAGGCUUUUCGUGGAGCGAUACAACACACACUCUCCUUUCCUCAGAUAGAAAGCCCACAACAGAACACAGCACAAAGUCACACCUCCAAAGUCAGGCUUGGUGAACCAGGAACCUCUAUUGUGGUCACGUAACAGGUGUGUACGUGCGGGGUUGCCUAUGGCAACAGAAGUGACUCAAAUACAAUUGCAUCACCAAAGCCCACCCCAGCAUGGGUGGCAGCUCACGAAAGCUCACCACACAGCGCACAGGCUGCCCUGUCUUUUCCAGGUGCUUCUGCUGGUCUGAGCCUCUCGCAAGUAGAGCAGCUGUUCCUUGUUCCCGCUAGAGCAGUGGUUCUCAGCCUUCCUAAUUCUGCAACCCUUUAAAACAGUUCUUCAUAUUGUGGUGACCCCCAACCAUAAAACUAUUUUCAUUGCUAUUUCAUAACUGUAAAUUUGUAAAGUAGACUUUAAAUAAUUAAUAAAAUGAAUUUUUAAAUUAAUGAAUACUAAUAUAAAUAUUUGUGUUUUCCAACGGUCUUGGGCAACCCCCAUGAAAGGGUCUUGGGGGUCAUUGCCCACAGAUUGAGAACCUCUGUUCUAGUUGUUGCUGCUUCCAGGCGGCUAGGCUGGUGUCUGCUGCUUCCAGGCGGCUAGGCUGGUGUCUGCUUCUUCCAGGCGGCUAGGCUUGUCUAGGAGUUGUUUCUGCAGUGACUCUCAGCUGCCCUUACUGCUUAUAAGUUGUGGAGAAGGGGCCUAGUGAACCCUGCCUCCUUUAGGAAAUUCUGAUGCUGUUUUCAGCUGUUUACGUCCUGCUGAUAGGUUUCCCGACAGGGUGGGAUGUUUCAAUUGCAUUUAAAAUGGAAACAUAACAAUGCUGCUGGAUACCACAAUUUUCUUAUAAACAAAGCAUAAUAAAGUAGGACUGUCAUAUAUGAUGUUCUUGUGUCAGUAGUUCCCUUACCAACAUACAACUUCUUAAAGAAUCAGUUGUGUUUUCAGAUCCAACUAUACACACUUAAUAAUUAAUAUGUAAUGUAGAAAAGUAGACUUUAACUAGUUAAUAAAAUGAAUUUUUUAAUACUUCAUGAAUCUCAUUUUUAUUUUAAGCUCUCCCAUAGUUUCAAGAUGAUAAAGACAACUUCACAGUGAUGAGAUGACCUCUUGAGAUGCAGGAGACUGAGGAGAGACAACGUGUCAGUAGGAUGAAGCAUCCCAUAGAGUAGUAGUGUUCCCAUACCCUCCCUCUCAUCGUUAUAAGGGAGUCGGUGAAUAGGAAUUUAUAAUAAUUUUUUUUAAAUAAAUGAAAUCUGGGUUUUUUUAUUAGUUGAUCUUUAUACACGUAUAGGUUUCCAUGUGACAUUUCUGAUACAUGUAUACCUGGUACUGUGCCUUGACUUCAGUUUCAGUAUUUGAACCAUGGAUGCCACUUGGCUCAGCAGUUUAAGCAUCACUCUCACAAAAUGAAUGCAAUACUAUCUAAGAUCAUUAUAUUAUGAGUCAUUUUAAGAGGCACUGGGACAAAAUGUAUAUCCAUCAGGAGGGAUUAUUUUAAUAAUGCUAACUCAUACCAUGGACAAAUACACAGCUAUUUAAAAGAGAAUUAGAUGUAGAUGUGUUGCUAAAACCAUAGCACGUAGCUGUAUGCAAAAGGCAAUUUGCAGAUUAUUUUGACUACUGUGAUCAUACAUCUUUUAAGAUGCAAAAAAGAAAAUUGGUAUAUAAAUGUGCUUGAGUAUAAAUACACAAAUGAUACCUACCAAAUUGUUAAUGAUGAUCGUCCUAAACACAGUUAGAUGAUAAAUAGCUGCUUUCUUGCUUUUUCUUUCUUUCCUUCUCCUUCCUUCUUCCUUCCUUCCUUCUCCUCCUUCUCCUUCUCCUUCUCCUUCUCCUUCUUCUCCUUCCUUCUCCUUCUCCUUCUCCUUCUCCUUCUCCUUCUCCUCCUCCUUCCUUCCUUCCUUCCUUCCUUCCUUCUCCUUCCUUCCUUAUUUUGCUUGGUCAUGAGUAAUAAAUAACUUAAGAACUUCUUUAAAAAGUCUUUAAAUGUUCCCUUCUACAACCCCAGGUCUGUGUGUCUGUUUUACUGUCUGUGCUGCUGAGAAAAAGCAAUACCCCAAAGAAAUGCAAGCUUUCCUAUGUUUUCUACAUUCUGCUGCUUUUUGUAACCAAAUGCAACAAAUGCUCUUUAAACUACCUUAAAGCUUUACAGAGUAGAAGGAAGGGAGUUGGGCUUCCUUUCUCUGGUUAGAUCCACGGUGUUGUGCACAUGCCACAGUAGAAACCUCAUGGUGAUGAAAACCAUCCAGAUCGUGUGACUUACCUGACUGCUGUCAGCUUUCACUACUGUGUAUGUGAAGUGGAUAGAAAACUAAACAGUCACGUCAUGUGAAUCAGCCUCCCUGCGUGCAGCGAUCCCUGCUGCAGCUCCCACUGCCCUUCAGUGGGCUUUGCCUGAGAUUCUGAACAGUGGAAUAAAUACAUGAGUUCACUAGUUGCAUGCAGGGUUCACAUGUAAGGAACAUAUACAUGAUCAUGGUCCUUACGGAGCUUGUAGCAAGAGAGACAAAUAGCACAAGAGCCACAGAGACAGCUUUCAGUAGCGGCCAGGAUGUCUGCUUUAAGACUGGAGCUUUGCUGGGGCCCAGGGAAUGAAAGAGCUUUCCAGGCUAGGUCCUGAAAAUGUCUGGACCCCAGUAGGGGCCCUUAGUAUACUGUGCAAGAACAGCCUUGGCAAGCCAGAGGAAGCCUGCAGAUGAGGCCAAAGAGGCUCGUGGGUUUUGAACACGUGUUGACAAUUUUGUGCUACUUAAACAGGAAGCCAGCAGGAGUUGCUAACCGGGGAGUGAUGCUGGAGGAUCCAUGCCACUCGCAGGCACCUUCGCCUUCCUUGUAAGAAUGCUUAACUUUCCCUAAAGACACUGGAACGAACAAUGAGCUCUGCAGCUUAAGAGAGCGGUUUAUCCUAGUGCAGUGCGUGCUCUAAGCUCACUCAGUGAAGAGUGCUUCCCUGGCUCACUCAUCUUCCUGAGCUUCCUCCAGCUCAGUUCCUAUGGCAGUCCCACUGUCGUGAGGACACUGCCCAGCUUGCUUUCAUUGUUUUGUUUUUAACUGGAAUGUAUGAGCCACAUAUGUGAUACCCACUCGGCGUCGUUCGGUACACUGAUGCAGUGGUCCCUCCUCCCAGCUCAGUGUCAGCCUAGGAUGGCCUGAUCACAGAGAAGGAAAUGAAAGAACUAGAGAGCUGCGUGUGUACCCUGAGACCUGGGUCAGGAGGGUGGGAGCCCUGCCUGACCUCAUGGCACUGACCCUCACGUAGUGUCUGACUUCUUUCCGAGCAGUCUCCUCUGCUGCUUUUCACAAAGCCUGCUAGCACAGCCCGCCCUGUAUCUACUCGGGCUCCAUUACUGAUCUCAGUGCCCACCUUCUUGCCUACUGAUGGAGCGUGUCUGCAAUCGGGGUAGCAUAUGCCUGGCACUGCCUCUCUGACCCUUGCUCGCCUUUCUGUAGGCAGUAGGAUCCUUGAGUAUGUUUGCUCUUGGAUGCUUGCAUUCAUGAAGCACAAGCUUUUAGUUUUUGUUCUUAUGUGGAGUCUAUAAGUUGGGAGAUUAGAUGGUAUUAUGAGUAGGAAGAGAAAUUAAGAACAAGUGUACUCAAAUGCAUACAAGUUACUGAAACACCCCCUGUGCUCCAGAGCCUCAUAUUGUACUUCUUGACCAGAGAUUUCAGACCCCUGCAGCUGUCUGUAGGCACUUUGUGUGGCAUGGGGUGGACUAGCAGGGUUUGUUUGUUGUUUGUUUUUUUUAACUCUUCCAAAGAUUUCAGUGAAAUAUUGGUGACAGUGAAUGGAAGGAUGGCUAGGAAUUAGCUCUGUACUUAGCACACAUUGGGAUCAGGGAUCAUAAAUAGGAAGAUCUAUUGUGAUUUGAAUCAAGCUUGUCUUUGAAAUGAAAAGACAAGACUUCCCUGGCUUUGAUCAUAGAAAAAGAAUUCUUACGUUGUCUAAUCUGAAGCUUAAAAGAAAAGUUUUGGUGUUAGCCACUUUUAGAAACGUCCAUGUUACAAAAGGCUGAUGUGUUUUGGCCUGCAGCUCGUUUUCAGCUGUUAUAAAAGGCUGCUGCUUUUGGCCCCCAGCUCAGUUUGCUAGGACUCUGUUCUUCAGGGUGGCUGGCUCUUAUUCACAUUUAUUCAUGUGGGUACACAAUGAAUGCUUAUAUGCCUGAAGUUCCGUUUGCCAGAGACUCUGGUCCUCAGUGUGGCUGUCACUCACAAAUCUACCUGCCUGUUUCUGGUGGCCUCCAAUCCAUAAAGAAAUCAUUCUCUCUUUUCAGUAAGUCUUAGUUGAUACUAAAUAGCUCUGCUAUAUUUGGGAUUAUUUUCCUGAGAUUUCUUGCAUCUAACAUUAAGCAGUACUUUUGUUUGAGAAGUAUUUAUUAUUAGGUCCUAUUACAUGGUGUAUUUUUCAUUUGUUUUAGAUAUUUUCUUAACUCUACUCUGAAACCCUUCACUUUAAAAAGUAAGGAUUCAUGGUACAUAGUCCCCCCCCCACCACACCCCCCCCAAGAAAUCCAGUUUCAGAAUGUGUAAUCGGAGAAAUGCCUUGUGGUGUUCCAGCUGCUGUCGGAUCACAGUCCUUUAGUCAGGGCCGGCCUCUCAUGGCUAUUCCUCUGCCCAUGGAGCCCUUUUAUCAGAGCCGGCCUCUCACAGACUCUCUGCCCAUGAGUAUGAAUAGCUGAACUAGUAAAAUUUUACAGUAUCUUCAAAGAGAACACUUUAGAAUAGUUUGUCAUCCAUAAUGUGUAGAAGUGGAUAUAUUAAGUCAUAUCAUUAAAAAAAAAAAAAAGCUACACCUUUCUACUCAAAUUACCAAGCUGGACGUAUUACGAAACAGCGGGAUUUCUAGUUUACUUUUGUAUUGUGUGUGUGAGAGUGCAUGUAUAUGUGGAGGCCAGGGAGUCAUGUCCUGUGUCUGCCUUAGCCUCAGCGGGCCUUAAUCAUUGUGACAGUAUCUCUCACAGAACGUUGAGCUCACUGAUUUGCCUAGAUGGGCAGGCAAGCAAGUCCUCAGACCCUCCUACCUCUCUGCCUCCCAGAUUCUGGGAUUGCAGGUUCAUACAGCCAUAGCCAGCUUUUUAUGUGGUGCAAAGAGUCUGGAUUCAGGUUUUUUUCAUGCUUUCUACAUUGAUCUAAUAAGUUGAUUGAGCCAUUGAACUGUUUAGUAAGGAUUAACUUAAGCUUUGAAGCUCAUUUCCAGCCUUGGGGGAAUCAAAAUUUUCAAUAUGACAUCAGCUGUUAAUGUAGGGUUCAAUAGUACCCUAUUGACAGCCACCCCCUACCCGUCUGUGAACAAUGUUUAAGACGUGGACCACUGUUCCUGUAUUGGGCCAUGGGGCAAUGUGGGACUGUAGUUAGAGUCAUUAUCAUUAUUACUAUAGUACUUUUGGGGAUUUCUAGAGGCAGGUGACGCCCAUUCCACUCAACGGUUUUCCCGUUAGUUGAAACUCACAGAGUGAUGCUGGAUACGGUGUGCCUCAUCCAGAAGAAGGUAGGAAGAUGGGAUACCAGCAUGUUACCAAAGUUCAAAAGUAGAUGCUUAUCAUCCUGACAAGAACAGAAGUGAAGUUGGCAGACAUGUGUAGUGUUUGGCUUUGAGUAGAUUGCUAUGUUAUAUGUAUUUCUUAGCAAGAGCACCCACUCAUGAUAUAAGCUGCCUACCCUGUUUCUUUUUAUAGCAAAUAAGAUCUGUAGAUGAAUUUGUUAUUAAAAGGCCUGUUAAUAUACAUUGAUUUCUAAUUUGUUCUGAAUUCCUUAGCUGAGAAAUAUAAUUUAGCACUGGUUGUUCUAUUACCUAACAAUAGUUGAUGAAGCACCUACAUUAAGAGUGUCAUAGCAGGUUAAUAUUUAUUGAUUUUUAUGGUGCUACAACUAGUGUAGUUUUGCUAUCAAAGAUGUGUGGCCGUCAACAAUGGAAUCUGUAAAACUGAAGGAUACGCACCCAAUAUUAUUAUUAACUGUACCGAGAAGCUAAAUUUAAUAAUAACAGAUGCUCAGUUUAAUACAAAAAGCUUUGAAAAUGUACCUACCCCAAGGCUGGACUCAUAUUGAAUGUUUAAAUAUGAAAUAUACAAGAACAACAUGUGAAAACAAAAAAAAGCCAUCACAUUUAGUCUCUUCUUCACUUAAGCAUAUACUAUUGAUCUGAAACGAUGUCCUAGUCAGUGAUUGCUGAAAUUAUGAACAAUAAAGGGUUUGUUUCUGUAACAAAAAGUAUAUAAUUAGCAACAAAGGGGGAAGCCUGUGUUUUGUUUUAAAGAAGUUUUAAAGAAACAGUUUAAGUGUCACAACAGUGUUGAGUAAUAUGCAAAGGGAAAAAUAGCUUAGUGCCUAGAAUUUUGAAUUCUUUCUCUGGUUGCGGAUUGGAAUUAAAAUCACGAGUGCAUAUUGUUUGGUUGCUUGUUUUUAAGUUUAUCUCCAUCUGUAUUUCAUUCUGUACACAAGAGUGUAAUUCCUGCUUCACCCUCGGUGUGAGUAACAUGAAGCGUGCCUGUGUCUUUUCUUUCUUGGAUGUGUGUAUAAUUUGUAUUUGUAAUUAACAAAUGAAAUAAGACAACCUGUUACUAGUUUUUAUACGUAAAGUAUAUAGCCGUUUCUUUGCCUUUAAGGUUGCAUGAAUUACAUUUUGAGAUUGAGUGAAAAAUGUCAUGUGUGUGCACAUUCUUCCCCUUCUCUCUCCCUGAUCCCUGGACUGCAGCAGAACACAUUAAGUAUCCAGUCAGUACAUUAACAGAACACAUUAAGUGUCCAGUCAGUACAUUUUGAGACUAUCUUGUCUGCCUCUCGUUUUCCAGUUGAUGUUAAGCCUAACAGCAUGUGUUGAACUUUUUGUUUCUUAGAAAAAAAAAAUGUAUGUUACUUGGAAAACUGUUCUUUCCCUCAAAAUACCAUUUUUAUACUUUGACUAUGCUUCCUAUAAAAUCUGAACAUGUACAUAUAACUGGGAUGAUAAAGCAUUCUGUAGUUUGAAGACACUGUUAGCAGACACAUUUAGUAAAAAUUUUUAUACAGCAAAAAAAAAUACCAUUUUUAUAUAUGGCAAUUAAAAUUCUAAAAUUGGAAACAAAUCAAUUAAAAGAUUCUAGAAACUGCUGGAUCACAAUGCAAAAGCCCUCUGCGGUAUAAAAUGUUUGGUUGGGAUUUUCUUACAGUGCAUGGUUUUCCUUCCUUGAUGUCAGUGUCACGUACACAGUUUUGUUUUCUUGAUCUGUAUCAAGCCUGUCCUUGAACCUUUUCCUUUUUUAGUCAAGCAAGGUCUCAUCCUGACCAUAGAGUGAUUUCAAAUACUCUUUCUCAGGCUGUUUAGGAUGCUACACUUUGACUUCAGAGCAAGACCUGGACCUUGUAGCGUUGUAACCUCCAGGCUGACUUCACUACCCACUGAACCGCUGGUGACAGCUGACAGGCUUCCCUAACACCCCAUUUCAUGUCUAAAAUUACACAGUGUUGCCACUGCCAGCCACUGACAUCCGUCCAUCAUACACUCACCUCCAAAUUAGCCAUUACCAAAGGUAAUGGCUGUUCUGAAAAGAUGACUUUAUGAGAUUAAUUAAAUCAAGCUUUGAUAUCUAGGAGUAUACAGCAGAAAAGCAAAACAUUUAUGUAAGAAAAAGAUUUUAUAAAGGAAGCAAAAUGGAAAUGGAGGAAGAACUGUCCAGGUACUUACACCAAUAGAGGGACCCGGGGCUGGGGAUGGCAAGUGACUGGGUGAGAUCCUCCCAUUUCUCAAAGGAAGAUUUAGUGUUACAAUCAGGAAGUCUGUAUGGUUCUAAUAACUGCAGAAUUUAUUCUCUGCCCUGUCCUUAGAAUAAACAAAAGCAAGUCUUUUAGAGCAAGCUGUGUGCAUGCUUAAUUUGAUAUUUAGUAAUGAAAUCCACUACCUUAAAAGUUGUAAUCUGUGAGUUAUAAGAACUUGCAGGCCACCAGAGAUAAAAAUUGUAAUCCUAUUUUAAAUUGCCUCAUUUGCUUACUUACUCGUUCCUUUACUUUAUAUAUGUUUUAAUUUUAAAUGAAACAUUUUAAAAUUGUAACUGCAAAACAUUGUUGCUUAUGUUAUAACAAUUUACAUGCUUUUGUUUUCUGUUCUUGGAUUGAAUCUGAAAGCAUAGCAUAGCUUCAGCGAUUUACUUGAAGUCAAAGUGAAGUUUGAGAAACUCAGCAUAAACGUGAUAAUGAAAAACAAAAUUUUAAAAGUAGAACUGACAGUAAGAACAAAGUAGCCUGGGCAGUAACGAUGGCCAUUUGUAAACCUUGUCCUUGAAAACAUAAUUCGUAAUUCAUGGUGUUUGAGAAUUGGCGUUUUAAGAAAUGUUUUAAUGAAUUCUUCUUGAACUUAAAAAUUUGUUUAAAAAUAUGAAGUAAGAAGCUUUAGUUAAUUUACCUUACAGCUCUCAAAUGAGUUGUGUUUUGGUGUUUUUGGUUUUGGUUUUGUUUUAGUUAAAAAACAAAAAGCUUUUGUUCUGCUCCUCAAAAGGAGGGCUGGCAGUCCUGUGUUAAUCUAGUCAUCUGACUUGAGGCAGGUGACCCCAGCAUGGAGAAAGCUGGCAGUGACUGUCCCUGUCAGUUUAUAAUCUUGGAGGACAGGACUACCUCCCUGGCUCUCAGACAAGGCACUCGCUCCUGUGUGGUUUCCUGCUUUCGGUUUUUCCCUUGUUGGUGAACAGUGUAGCCUAAUUUUAGCUGAAAUAAUUACUGGUUCUGUGUGACCAGGCAGAAUUUAAAAUACUGUUAAGAAAAGUCCAGAGUCCUCCUGUUUCCCAUAACCACUUCAGCCGAGAUGUUUUCUGAAUUACAACGUGCUGGGAAAUCCAGAGCUGAUUUAACAGGGCACAUACAGAACUCUUCAGUAGGGUUGAGGUAAAAUGGCGUUAAGUAAGCUAUAAACCGAUUCUAAAAAUGCUUCUGACAUGAAGGGGAUGGAAGCCCAGUCGGGCUGCAGCAGCAGGAUGCACACCUAGUGCCUGCCAACAGAGUACAGCGUGGCAGCCUCUCCCCCUCAGGCUGAGUGCAUCUUGGUGGCAGGGCUAAGCCACAGUGCCACCCUCUGGGUCUGGGCCACCACCAGGUCAGCCCUUUUCCACCAUGAAAGGAGGCCUGCACAGACAGAGAAGCAGGCAGCCGCCUGUGGACCCUGUGAGCAGAGUUAUUCUGUGAGGAUGAACCCUGAGCCAGCCAUUGCUCACUCCUUCACUCCUGGGGCAGGAUGGGGGGGGGGGUGUGGAUGGGGUGUCAUCCCUGUCUUGUGUCUUUCUUUCUCUUUCUCUCCUUUCUUUCCCCCAGCUCUUAUGACCUCUCGAACACCACCACCCCCCUUUCUUUUUUUUUUUCUUUUACAAAAAACACAGAAAAGUGCUGUAAAUUCACACCCACAAAACUGAGGGUCAAAAAGCCUGAGAGAAAAUAAUUAAAUCCCAGGCUGAGGGCAGAGCCCAGCACACCUGUCUCUGCAGAGCCCUCACAACUUUUAAGAAACUUACUUUCUUGAAGAACACAACCUUCCUUCCUCUCUGCUUCAUCUCUCAGCUUGUGCGGGUUUAUCAGGAAGAUUCUUGUUCACUGGUUUGCUUGAACGGGAGCCUUCACCUAGUGGCUAGAUUGGUGUUUCGUUUCAUUUUCAUUUAACAAGAAGACCGUACUCUGCUGGUGUCCUGUAUGGCCGGCGAUUCAUUACUAAGUUCACCUACAUGUGUCUUCGUUACUCAGCUCACACAAUUUAUUUAUAAAAACAUGUGCAGAUUGCUGGUCUUCAUCCGACUAGUCUCUCUGACAGAAAUCUUUUGUGUCCGGAGACACUCUUGCAGAUUCAACAUGGUCAGCAUUAUCAGUCUGCUAGUGAUUUGACAUAAUAAGAAGCACUGGAAUCCCAACAAUGGCAAAUUAUUUUGUCAUUUUUAUGUCACUCGGGAAUGUUUUAUUUGUAUUUAUGAAAAUUAUAUAUCUAAGAAAAUAAAUUAUUUUUUAUGUAACCUAAUCUCAUUUUAACUAUAUAUUGUUUAACUUAAGGAAGUUCAUAUUUGGAGAGAAAGAGAAGACAUAUGUUUACAAGACGAUCCAGGUUUUAAAACAAAUUAUAAAUAUUUACAAAAUGCUACUGUGCAUUAGUGUAAAGAAAGUGCAUGGAAAGGCUGGGAUCUAACUGAAGGGCAGACGCCAGCAGCUACAGUGUGCCCUUCCACAUUGAGAGUCAGAUCAGAACCCAAAUUAAAGUGGAGGAAAGAGAGACUGCAUCAGUUAAGGUGUUGUUGCCCAUGAGCACUUUAUCUCCAUAUGCAAAUCACAGAGCAGGCAGCAGAGAGAGAAAGGCAUGGAGAAGGGGAGGCAAAAGGGACAGAAGCCAAGGGGUCCGCCGUCCAUUGUGCUGACUUUAGAACAGAUGGGAAAUAAGUAGGUUAGAUCUACAGUGGACUGUGUGGAUAAUAGCAGAAUAUCAGAAGCAGUACAGGAGAGGCCAUUUGUGUCUCUCCUGCCAGUGCAUUUCUGCUCGGCACACAUCUGAAAUCAGACACUUAAAGGGCCAUCUAUGCUAGCAGCAGCACGGGCAUAAUGCUUAAUGAAAGCAGCGUUAUUAGGAAGGAGCUGGUGCGUCUGGAAACCGCUGCUGUUAUUACCAGGGUCAGGGGAGCUUCUUAUUCUUUCUAUGAUUAACUUUCCAGGCCUGUGAAAUAAAUGGACUAAACACUGAAAAUGACCUUGCUGACUCCUUCCUGUGUGGCAGAGCCUGCCAUAAUCUGUGAAUUUUCACCUAUCCUAGACUGCACCUCUAAUUCACUGCUACCCUCUUUACCUGCCUGUCUCCUCUGAGACUAUGAGAAAAAACACAGCCCUGCCUGCACCUCUGCUCUUCAAAGCAGCUUUAGAGCAGCUGUGUGGAUCCCCAGCCUGAGGAGACUCACAUGGUACCUGGUGGUAUAACAUGUAUAAGGCCCUGUAUUUGAUCCCAGUACCUCACAAUACAUGCAUUUGUUAACAUACCUAUGACAGACAGACGUUUUUACAUUAUAUAUAGACUUAAACCUGGGUCCUCAAGUAGCGUUGUGACCACAGCUUUGGAUAGGCGGUGAUAGACCCUGUCAGCAAAACCAUCCCAUGGCUGUUCUUGGACAGUGUCCUGGACAUCUGUGAGUGUAUCUUAAGACAGGAUUAAUACAAACCAUGCACUCCAGGACCACAGCCCAGUGGGGUGGAGAGGCAUAGCAGUCUAUGUUUGCGAAUUUUCCCUCUGAAAAUUAGAAUGGUAUUACUGCCUCUCCCCAAAAAGAGAAAGACCAAACUGCCUCGGGUUGUCUCUGAUUAUUUUCAUCCUAAUAGCAGUAGAAGACCAUCCGAGGCCAACAUGAAAUAGGUUUGCAGUGCAAGUUGGCCAAGAAGCACUACCCACAGUUACCUAGAUGCUGCACAGAAUGGCAGCAUAGGAAAAGAUGCCCAGAGUCCUCUUCAGGAUGCUGUGAUGCGCAGGCAGUGCUCGUGGUUAAUGAACACUUGCGUGUACAGCUCAUGUCAUCCAGCCCCCUCUUCCUCAUCUCUCUGUAUGGCAUCUGAGGACAAGCCAGCAGUGGCUCCCUUCACUCCCUGUCAUGGCCGUCCUUUAAUGUUCACAUUAUUUAAAAUAGUAAGCAAGAUGCAAGUCAGUGGGUUCUCAGGUGCUCCGUGAAUUUCCAAGGAUUUUCGUGAUUUCUGCUGUUUACCUAGAAAUUAGAGCCAUCCUCAAAACAGUGUAAGCAGAGGUCUCUCGGGUGUGGGAUGUGUGUGGAACAGGGCCAGCACAGAAGAAGAUGGCAUUUGGGUGCCGUGUUGGCAACCAGGGAAGGUGCAGGCUGAGGCCCUGCUCUCAUUGUCACAAAGAUCUGUCACUUUGCUUUCUUGCAAGCCACCAUGGCAUCCCUGCGCCAUUUUCAUGAGAUUCCUGGGGUGUCGAAAUGCCUCUUCUUUCCCUGUGCUUUCGUUUGGAAGCUUUGGAAUCAGCUCUCAGAACCCAGGACAGUCUCCCAUUUUUUUGCUAAUGGGAACUCUGAACAUACACUUCCUGCUCUCUCACCUGACUCUCCAGGGUUUUCAUACUUUUAACAGGAUAUGGUUUUAAUGAGGCUUCUAGAAGCUUUAGAAACUUGUUUAAUGAUUUUGUUUUGACCUUUUACCACUGCCUUUGCUGAGCCUGAAUUGAUUGUCUAUACUGAAGAUUUGCUCGCACCAUACCAAUUUUAAUAUUUUCACAUGCAGCUUUUCCCCUUGCCUUGGUUCUGGAAUGGCACAUAUUGAGGAUUACGAUGAAAACUAAAGGGAUAAUAAUCUUCCCACCUCCCCCUCCCCCCCAACAGCAGCUCAGUACCCAAGAGUCUGUCUCACCUCUUUGUUAAGAACAGCAACUAGGGUUCCCAGGAGGCUCUAAGCAUCUAAACUUACCCAGAUUUUCAUUCGCUUUAAUGGCACGGGCAUUUAAAUAGAGCCCAGUGGAAUAUUUACUGGCCAUAGUCAUUUGUAAGCAGUUGGAAUCCCCACAAGGCAGUGAGCAGGAAUAGGUAGGACCAGUAUGACGUGGGCCCGGCUGCCUGUCCUCGACGACCUUGAAUUCUGAGCUACUCAGUCUCCAGUCAGCCACUGAGUUAAGUUGACUGAGCACCUCUACCCAUGGAGCUCUGGGAUAUUAGCAAACCCUCAGUAAGCCACCAUAGGCCACCUCUUCUGUCACCAUGUCUUCCUGUUGAUUGGCUGUCUGCAUCAGAUACUCUCCUUGAUCGUCAUCAUAAUUUCCCUUCAUGUUUUAACUUCCAGGAAAACCUUACAAUGUACCAUUCUUUCAAGAUAUAGCCCUCCCUUUUCCCUGUUUCCUCUGUUAUUGAGGAUUUUUAAUGUAUGGAUUCAUUUCUUCAGCAUUGAAUACCUUUAGCUUAUAUGAAGUUUUUCAUCUAAAUUUUUAUUUGUGAUUCAUUUUCAUAAUAUAUUUCAUACUAGUAUAUUUAUAGUUACUCAUUUUCAGAACUAAACCUACCUUCCUAAAAUAAGAAGCAAAUAGUUCCUACCAAGCCGAGUAGCACAAGCCCAUACAUAGUCCUGGCUGCUUAGGAUGCUGAGGCAGGAGGAUGAGAAAGUCAAGACAAGCCUGGACCACAGAGCACGUUCACCGCAAGCCUGGGCGGGCGGCUUACUGAGCCCUUGUCUCACAAUCAAAUGUGAAAAGAGGCCCGAGCUUCAGUUCUCACUACCACAAAAGAAGGGUGGCCUAGAAGUAGGAAAGAAUGAAGACAUUUUUAGUUUGUUUUUUUUUUUAAAUUAGUGAUAGAAAUACCAAGUACAGCUGAGGAAUAGGGGAAUCCUAUAGCAUUCGAGGGAGGCAGGGAGACAGGGAGGCAGUAAAACUGGGAAAUGUCUCAUGGUAGUUAACAACAAAUAACGCCCUGAGACAGGCCAGAAUCACACAGUUAGCAGUUUUCCAGCCUCAGCUCAGAUCAUAGACUGGUAACGCCGGGAAAAUGAGUAGGGUCUUGCCAUUGCCGGGAGAUGCUUAUUGAAAGCUAGAACUCCCACAAGACAUCUCGUCUGCCUGCUGAGCCUGUCCUGCCUGUUCACAGGCAUGGUAUAGAUAGUGUCUUGUGGCCCCGCAUGAACACCUCUUUCUGGGUUCAGUGUCCCUCGUAUGUUAGGCAUCCCUGGAGCUGUCGGUGGCAGAGCCUUGCUUUCUCGUGUCACUGUUGCCCUGUCUCAGAAAGCUGAGGCUGGACAGAUGAUGGCGGAGCAGUUAAGAGCAUGCACUGCCCUUGCAGGGGACCAAGUUCAGUUCCCAGCACCCACGUAAGGCUGCUCACAAGGCUUUAUAUCUCUAACUCCAAGAGUACCAUGUCUGUGGCCUCCACAGUUACCUGUGCUCACGCUGAGCACACAUUCCUCCCCUCCUCUCCAAUAACUAGAAAUUAAAAUAAAAAGAGAUUUUUAGAAAAUGUUUAGUUAGAGGAUGAGUUCACUUUCAAGUUGAGAAAUAUAUUCUUUCUUGUAAUGGCCUUGUCCCCAGUUGUUUCCUAUGUAGACCCAUAGUAGAAGCAUAGGUCCUUUAUUCAACUGACUGCAUUUGAGGUACAUAUGGAAAUCCUCAAGGCAAAAUGAAAACCCUAGCAAUGAGACCGGUACAGUUGCUGGCUGAGUCACCAUCCCAGCUUUCUGUGUCAGAUCCCCACUUCCUCCUGUCAUCUGGCUCACAAGUCUGUCACCACGCUGGUAGAUAUUUUCUUCUGGCAGCCUCUAUGUUGUCCUUGCUGAUCUUAGUCUGUGCAUGGCUGCUAACAGCACACCCCAUGCAUGGUAAGGUCCUACUUGUACAUGGUUGUUUCUGCAGCCUUCUUCUCCACCUACAUUUUUUAUGUGUUUUUUUUUUUCAAUUAUAACUCUAUAAUUACCUUUAUCUAAUUUCGUUAGUGAUACUGUAUAGUGUCCUGUAUAGUGUAUAAAUACUGGCUUUAUGCUGUCCUUGCGUGUGGCCAACAUGACGCAGCUAACAGUGAUGCAGACAGUAAGGACUCGGGCCAAGGGCACAUUUUGUAUGGAUUGUUUGCUAUUUAAAGCACUGUUUGGAAGCAGGGGAAAAAAAGUGUGUCCAGGACAAGAAGGUAGUAUAGGGUGAAAGUGAUGUUCCUGUCAGAAGUCCCAACCCUCUGAGGUACUCACCUCACCCUCCCUUAGAGAGUGCCUGCUAAGUUGCUCAGCUGUCCUGCUGUGAGCUUUUGGAAGGCCAGUUAGAUGUGGAAUUUGUUGGAUGAACUAAUUCAUGAAUAAGGACUGAUGGUGCUUCAUUUUCUGGUUAGAGAUCUCCUUGUUACUGAUCACCAUUACAUACCCAAGUGACAGCUACUUGUCAUUGCUGCUGCAGGGACCCACCAGCCCACAGUGAGAGCAGCCUGCCUCCCACACCGGCCUCUGUUUGCCUCUGUUCCUUGUCUGAUCUCUUUGUGAAAUCUAGCUGCCUGUUCUUUAACUUUUCUUUCACACCCAUAGAUGAACUUUUAUUCUUUUUUAAUAAAGGCUUACCGAAACGUUCACUGUUAGACUAGAAAAGUAUGAUUUUAUUUUCAUACUUUUUUUUUCUAAUUAGGUCUUUCCAUGUUAUCCAGCUGGUCUCAAACUCACAUCCCUGGUUCCUCAGGCUCCUGAGUAUCUUAAGGUUACAAGCUCAUGCCACUGAGCCCACAUCCCAUAGCAACAGAACAUGUCUAGGUACUGAUGCAAACGUCUGGGGUGUGUACCCAGUGCAUUAGAAGAAACACUGUAGUAGGGAAUGGUUUUGAUCAAUUUUCAGUGUUUUAGAGUGUUACAGCGCUAAAAUUUAAUCGCUUGCUCCAGUGAUGUCUGAUUGCCACGCUUUAGGAUGUGGGAGGCUGUGAAAGCUAGUGCAGUGCUGUCCUUUGGACCAACCACUGGAGAUGUCACCUUCUUACUGUGUGCACCCUCACAGAUGUCGUCACUGACUGAUGCUCUGAUGAAAUGUCAUGAUCCAAAGCAACUUAUAGAAGAAAGGCUUUAUUUCAGUUCAUAGCUCCAAGGGAUGAAGUCCUCAUGGCAUGGAUGCCUCUGGCAGCAGAAGGUGCUGGUCAUAAUUCAUCUGCACACAAGAAGCAGAGCGAGAGAGUACAAAAUGGUGGAUUCUAUAAACCCUCAAAGCUCACUCCCUUUGUGCUGUAACCUUCCAGCAAGGCUCUACUUUCUAAAGGGUCCAUAACUUCCCUAGAGAGCCAGGAAGUAGGGAGCAUGUGCCUGGUUGGGGUUAGGGUAAGGGGUAUUUAUCACCCAAACCACACAAUGGAUACCAAUAGAGAUGCUUAGUAAUAUUUUCUUACAGACUUCUUGCCCUAUUAUAUUGGUCAAACCCUAAUAUGAUUACUAGGACUACUCAAGUUAUUUUAAAAUAGACUUUUUUACAUACAAGCAAAUAUAUAAAAAUACUUAGAAUAUUUUGCAUGGUUGUAGAAGCUAAUUUAAAACAUGUAUGUCUUAUGCAGUAGAAGUCUUAAACCUUCUUAGCAAGAACUAAUAAUUGUUUGGGUUUUUAUUGUGUUUUGUUGUAUUUUAUUUUAUUUUUUGUUUUGUUUUUGUUUUUUGUUUUGGGGUCUGGCUUGAAAAAGUUACAUGGUACUUUGCUAACAUUUGUAUUUUCUGGUAGCCUAUAUUUUGGUGGUGUUGAAAUAGUUAAUAUUUUGCCACAUACAUUUUUACUGGCUUUGAUUUUUAAAUGGUUUUAUAAAAGGAAAGAACUAUUAUUAAAAAUUGUCUUAUUAUGAAGUAUAUUCAGUCUCUAAGCAUAUAAGCUAAGGAUCUUGUUUUCCAUGCAAAUUGUUUUGUUUCUUAGAAGAGCCAGGCCUGUGAGCAGUCUGGGCAGCUGUUCUGUGUGAACAAAAGACUUUGUUCUGAUAGCAGGGUGUCUUCCCAGGCCUGGCUAGGCCUGCUAGACCCAGCUUCUGGGAUCCUGUGAGACCCAGCUAGAUGGGCAGUUGGUGUUGCCAAUAAGCUCAUGAGGAAGGAGAUGGUAGGAGCCACAUCUUGCUCUCCCUGUCCCCCUUCCCUCACACUGACAUAAGCUUUGAAGCACGUCUUUUCUACGGUAUUCUUACUUCCCCUUCAACACGUUUUCAGCAGACACGGAUAUCAUGGUGGCAGCUGUUCUCUUGAGCACUUGCUAAGGCCCAGGCUGCCCCUGUGUCUCCUGGGUUCGCCAGCAGACACUGUAUCCUUUCUUUCUGGCUGAUUUAAAGAGUUUUUCUUGGCCUUUAUUUCUCAGAAAUUAAUUAUAAUGUGUAUUUGUGCAGGUUUCUUUUCAGUUUCCUUCCUUCAGGGCCCCUCACCUUCUUAAUCUGUAGGAACAAUCUUCCAUCAAGUUUGGAAGUUUCAUACUUAUUUCUUUAAAUGACAUUAAAUUCUUCUCACCUUUCUUUUCUUCUUCUGAUAUACCACUGAUGUAAGGGUGGGUUCUCCUCGUUCCAUUCCAUCCCGCUGGGGCCUCCAUUCUUUUGCAGCUACUGAGCCCAGUUAGUAAGUAUGUAAAUCUUUUAUUGUACUUUUCACUUCUUUAAUUUUCACUUUCUCUUUUAUAACCUCUGUUUCUUCACUGUGAAUAACUUAUUUUUAUGUGUAUCUCAGGAAAUAUACAGUUUUGCUCAAAACAUUUUUAUACUUACAUUAAAACUCCUGUCUAUUUAUUCUAGCAUUGGAUUUUUCUCAAUAUUAACUUCAGACAAUUUUCUUACUACAUUGUGACUUUCUAGGAUCUUGCUGUGAUUGGUGACUGUGUGCCAGACCUCUUGCCUAUUUUGUAUGUCUGGGUCAUAUUUGGAAUUUUAUUUCAUGAAGUUACUUCAUUGGAAUUUAACAUGCAACAUAAUUUUGUGCACUGUGGUUCCAUUGCUGCCUGAAUGUUUUAUGCUUUUAUAGGUCAUUUUAGUUUUCUCAGUUUCUGGGAAUUGACUGGGUUUCCUACUGAACCCCACUGCCUGAGAGGACAGAAGGCUUUCUGGCCACCCAAUUUUUUGCCUUUCGAUCAUUUAGACUGAGGUUUGAUUUUGCAGUAUUUUACUUUGUAGAGCAUUUUACUGGUUGCUGAGAUACUUCUUCUUGUCCAACUGGCUUACAGCUAUCUAGAAUAGCAGUUGUAUCGUUUGUGCAAAGUGUAGAAACUUCACACAUAUUUGCUCUUCUUCAGCAUCCCUUUUGUAUGAGAUUGUUUGUGUAGCUACAUGAAUGAGAACCACCUUGAAUAGUGUCACAGUUUUUCCUUAAACUGUGUAAAAUAUACAUAAGAAAUACCAGUCUUUGGGCAACCAGCAUCAAGUAUCCUUGGUUUAUUGUUGUUGCUGUUGUUUGUUUUGUCACUAUCUUCCUAUCUUGUCGACAGUGAGGCUACCAGCCAGUAUAUAUACAGUUCCACAAAAGCACACUUGAUAGCAUUACCUAGAACAGGCAUCAGUACUUGAAAAUCCUUUUGGACAUCUCUGGUUUGAUGAUAUUAAUUAAAAAAGAAAGACAACUAUUGGACACUAGUUUGCAAGGGCCAUUGCAACCCAGUUCUGAAGCUAUCCAAAAUCAAUGAGUCCUGCACCCCUUGCUUAUUUAUGCAGUCAGCGUUGGAGAAGUGUCAGUGGGGCAAUUCCAUGCCUCCUCUUAUAGCUGCGUGGUCUGUCCAUUACUUUUCUCAUUGCUGUUCUAAAGUACCCAACAGAAGCAGCUUAUGGAAGGAAGGGUUUACUUAGGCUCCCUCUCCCAGAGAUACAGUCUACCAUUACAGGGAAGGUAAGUCAACAAGAGAAAGGGGUUGCUAGUCACAUCCAGGCUGCAGUCAGUACGCGUAGAAUCAUUAAUGCUUGUGUUCAGCCCCAUUUCUCCUUCUAGUUCAGUAGAGUAAGGCAGCCCAUGGAACAGUAGCACCUACAGUUACUAUGGACCUUCCUAGAUAAUCCUCUCAAACUCGCUCACAGACUUGUCCGUGGUGAUUUGAACUCCCAUCAAGUUGAUAAUCAAGAUUAUCAACUAUUGUAUGUGAUUUGUAUCUGCAUAUCUCUACAAAAAAGGUCUCCCAGUUUCCUCUUUGCAUAAGGAAGUGGCAGUCCACCCAACCCCACUAUAACCUCAUCUUAACUAAGUAUCCCUAAGGAGCUCAUUCUAAAGAAGGAUUCUCCACCUCCACCUCCACCUCCACCUCCACCUCCACACCUGGGUGCUGUGCACCCUGUAGAUUAAGUGUUUGCCCUGUGGUAUCCACCCUCUCAGGUCUCUGUCCCUGUGAUUUGCUGCUGCUUAAAAUCUUGGUGCAGUUAUUUAGUCAAAUCUUACAGUAAACAGUGGGGCUUCAACCUUUAGUCUUUAACAAUCUUAAAACACAUAUAAAUCUUAAUAAUAAAGAGUUAACAGAAACAAAGACAAGAGGUGGCCAAGAUAAUGGCAUUGUCAUAGAUUAAUUUGCUAUGUGUUUGAAGAUGGUUAUAAUGGAAUCUCACUUUUUUCCUAAGUAUCACAUUACCUCAGGCAACUUUACCUGAUUACACUAAUCAUGCUAAAUAUGAAACCUUCUUAGCAUGGGGUGUUAGAAUUUACAGAAACUAUAUUUAUGCCUCUUAGUAUCAUGCACUAAAGUAUACAUAGCGAAAACUAUUGAUACUGUAGUAGGAUGUUUUGUUUUGUUUUGUUUUUAAUUCUAAAAAUAAUUCAAUUCGCCUUACAGGAAAGGACAGGGUACAGCAAGAAGCAGAGGUGCUAAUUUAGGACCGACUUAGCAGAAUGCUAUGUUUCUGGUAUUAUUUCCAAGAGUAGGGCAACACAUUAUGGCCUUCAUAACUGCUAAGUUAUCUCCUCUGUGUAUACCAUGUAGUGAUUUAUCAGACUCACGAGGCCUUUCUUCUGCUCAGCUGUUCUAUCCUUGGAAGGACAAGAAAGAGAAACAAUUUCAAAUGAACAUAUGGCUUUCCAAAAAUGGAAGGUGGAGGAGCAGGUCAGCAGCUGAACUGAUCUCAGGGUCAGCCAACUCUCUCCUCUCACCUUAGCAACCACAAGAUGAGCAGCUUUUGAAACCAGCACAUUCAUGGGAACUCGCCUGCCUGAAGAACCCUGCCGCCACCGCAGACACUUCAUCAGGUGGAAGAGAUGGCUUUUGCAAAGACACCAUGCGCAAGCAGGCUGCAGGUGACUUUUCAUAGCAGCUGCUACCGUGUGUGUUUCAGAAGAUCUUCCCGGGAAGUCUCUUAAGCCUGAUUUCUCAUAGGAACUGGUCAUUUCAAUCCUACCUUGAAUUUAUAUCUAAGGGCACAUUAAUAAAUUAUUAGGAGAAAUAUUAACCGCAUAAGCAUAAUUGGCCAGAGAGCAUAGGUUUUGAGUGGAAAACCAGUCACCUUGGGUCCUGGCCUGCCGCACAGGUGUUGAGACAGUAGCAAGCAGUGCUGUGUGUCAGCUUCCUGAAAUGCUGAAGCAUUCAGAGUCCACUUGUCCUUCAUCAUCCCGAGGGGUGCAGUCCACGACUCACUACAUCUAUGGUACCAGAUGGUGCCAAAGCCUAUAAUCUAAUGUCUUUGAUCUUGACUGUGCCUUUAUCACGUGUGGGCAUUUUGCAGCUUGAAGUGUGACGGCAAAGCUAACACACAUCUCUUUUGCUCUUCACAAUCUCACAGCAGAGAAUACAUUUGCUAGAGAUCUCAGCAAUUCCAGGAGAUAAUUUUUCCCUCUUUCUUUAUGUAAAAACUUCUGAUAUUUCUUGUUGAUGUAUUCAAAUUCCUGUGCUGUGAAGCUACUGUAAACCAAAGGUAGCUUGAAUAUAAGUGCUUAGUGCAGUACUGCCACUAAUAAUGUGAGGGUGGAACUAGUUACCAAAUGAUUAAUGUACAGGUAGCAAACACAGUAUGGAAACACUGGACUGAAAAAACAAACCAAGACAGAACACAGGGUGUGUCGGGUAGAAGGGGACUGUGUAAGAGAGUAUAGCAUAUUACACAGAAGAGAACACAUCUUAAAUACUAGGAAUUUUCUCCUAAAAAUUCCCUUUUAGUGUUUCUGGACUAGAGAGAUCACUGGAGCUCUGGGAAAUAGAGGCACCAGUGGGAUAGUGUGUUUUUUCUCCAGAUCUUUGUAGUUGAGAUAUUACUGAGCUUCUAACCUUUGUUCUAGUUUAACUCACAGCCAGUUGUCAUUUUUACCUCUUUGAUGCUUUGAGAUUUUUUGUUUGUUUGUUUUUUGUUUUGUUUUUGUUUUCCUAAACCUAAAUUCUCUAUGGAAUUUUGAAUCUCUUUUUAUUUUUUCAUGACUUCCCUAUUCUUGUUGGUAUUUUGUUCUUUUAAUGUAAAUUUGUUUCUGUGUACUUUAAAAAUUAGUGCUUUUGUAUAAUCUUAAGUUCAAAAUACAUGUUCAAGGUUUUAUCUACGUA
Mus musculus (house mouse) is the source of this 22408-nucleotide long non-coding RNA. RefSeq annotates it as predicted gene, 57824. Lineage: Eukaryota; Metazoa; Chordata; Mammalia; Rodentia; Muridae. The transcript has 2 exons. The record is from RefSeq and is a predicted model, not a curated record.